UAAUUUCAUAAAAAUAUUUUCUAUCAUAUACCAUUUUUACAUAAUUUUGAAAAUCAUUUUUUCAUUUAAUUAAUAUUUUCUCUUAUUUUUCAUUUCAUUUUAUUUCCACAUUUUUAUUUUAUUAAUUUUAAAACAUUUUUCACCCCAAAUUUUGAGGUCAAGUCACCCUAAAUUUUAUUGAACUUCUCUAUUUUUUUUGAAUUUUAU
Molecule: long non-coding RNA, 207 nt
Filed under: Lathyrus oleraceus (garden pea)
Lineage: Eukaryota; Viridiplantae; Streptophyta; Magnoliopsida; Fabales; Fabaceae
Description: Pisum sativum (pea) long non-coding RNA (PSAT_LNC009752)
Source: RNAcentral